Molecule: unclassified non-coding RNA, 319 nt
Filed under: Hevea brasiliensis (rubber tree)
Lineage: Eukaryota; Viridiplantae; Streptophyta; Magnoliopsida; Malpighiales; Euphorbiaceae
Source: RNAcentral
AAGAAGAAGAAGAAGAUUCAUUUAAUUUUUGUAAGAAACCAAAAAUACGGGUAUAUUAAAAUAUUCAUCCUUAGCUUGAAAAGUAAUAUAGUCUUCGCUUCUGCAAUCAUGUGCAGGGGAAUCAAGUCAAGUAUAUUAGUUUGAACAAUUCGGUAAAAACCAAUGACAGUAUAGGAAUAGCAUGAUGCAGCCCGAUACAAAUUAAAAAAAAAAGGUACUUUUUUAAUUUGUCCUAACCAACCUAAACCAUGGUAAAGCAAUCUACGCUGAUUAAGCAACCAAAGUCCUCUGAAUAAGAGAACUUACUACUUUUUCAUGU